This 353-nucleotide unclassified non-coding RNA is filed under the name Hevea brasiliensis (rubber tree). Lineage: Eukaryota; Viridiplantae; Streptophyta; Magnoliopsida; Malpighiales; Euphorbiaceae. The record is from RNAcentral.
GUGCAAACAAUUGUUCGGCCGGUGUUCACAAUGUUACGUACAGUCCUCAUUACAAUAGCUGCAGCUCUUGCAUCCAAUCCAGAUGUAGGUUCAUCCAUGAACACAAUAGAAGGGUUAGCUACUAGUUCAACAGCAAUUGUUAGCCGUUUCCUUUGUUCUGUUGACAGUCCAUCAACUCCAGGCAAACCAACCAAAGCUCCUCUUAGUGGACUCAGCUCCACAAGCUCCAUUACCUCGUCAACAAAUGCCUUUUGUGUCUCUACGUCAACCUCUGAUGGCAAACGUAGCCAAGCAGAAAACAGUAGUGAUUCAAGAAUGGUCAAGCAAGGUGAGUGGAUGUCAUUUUGCUCACA